This 440-nucleotide ribosomal RNA is filed under the name uncultured bacterium. RNAcentral's name for it is "partial 16S ribosomal RNA". It matches the Rfam family "Bacterial small subunit ribosomal RNA", at positions 338 to 795 of the family's 1533-position model. The record is from RNAcentral.
CCUACGGGGUGCAGCAGUAGGGAAUAUUGCUCAAUGGGGGAAACCCUGAUGCAGCGACGCCGCGUGGGGGAUGAAGUUUUUCGGUUUGUAAACUCCUUUUAUUAGAGAAGAUAAUGACGGUAUCUGACGAAUAAGCACCGGCUAACUACGUGCCAGCAGCCGCGGUAAUACGUAGGGGGCAAGCGUUACUCGGAAUCACUGGGCGUAAAGAGCGCGUAGGCGGGAGCGCAAGUCAGAUGUGAAAUCCUAUGGCUUAACCACAGAACUGCAUUGGAAACUGUUAUUCUAGAGUAUGGGAGGGGUAGGUGGAAUUCUUGGUGUAGGGGUAAAAUGCGUAGAGAUCAAGAGGAAUACUCAUUGCGAAGGCGACCUGCUAGAACAUAACUGACGCUGAUGCGCGAAAGCGUGGGGAGCAAACAGGAUUAGAUACCCCUGUAGUC